RNAcentral lists this ribosomal RNA (775 nucleotides) under uncultured Neocallimastigales. Its description in RNAcentral is "partial large subunit ribosomal RNA". It matches the Rfam family "Eukaryotic large subunit ribosomal RNA", at positions 23 to 634 of the family's 3401-position model. The record is from RNAcentral. Lineage: Eukaryota; Fungi; Neocallimastigomycota; Neocallimastigomycetes; Neocallimastigales.
AGAGAGAGACAUGCGCGCAUAUCAAUAAGCGGAGGAAAAGAAACUAACAAGGAUUCCCUUAGUAACGGCGAGUGAAGCGGGAAGAGCUCAAAUUUGAAAUCUUCAAGGUUUUACCUUGACGAAUUGUAGUUUAAAGAAGUGUUUUCUGCUGAAGUUUUGGUAUAAGUUCUUUGGAAUAGGACAUCAUAGAGGGUGAGAAUCCCGUAUUUGACCAUUAUUUUCAGCUUUGUGAUACACUUUCAAAGAGUCGGAUUGUUUGGGAAUGCAGUCCAAAAUGGGUGGUAAAUUUCAUCUAAAGCUAAAUAUUGGCGAGAGACCGAUAGCGAACAAGUACUGUGAGGGAAAGAUGAAAAGAACUUUGAAAAGAGAGUUAAACAGUACGUGAAAUUGUCAAAGGGGAAGCGUUUGACACCAGUGUUGUUUUCUCGAAAAUCAAUUAAAAAUGGCUCGAUUUUGUAUUGUUGAGACCUUAAAAGCUCACUGUACAUUUUUCGUGUCUUUUUUAAUGCACUUUUCGUUUAAACAAGUCAACAUCAGUUUCUUUUGUUGUAAAAGGGUCAUUGGAAGGUGGCUUUCUUUUCGGAGAAAGUGUUUAUAGCCUUUGGCCUCUGCAAUCGGAGAGACUGAGGUCUGCAGCGUAGAUCCUUCGGGGUUAGAUACAUUUGUGCUAAGUUAUAGCCUUUCAUAGACAACUUGUUGACUAUGAUCAGUCAUGUAGCUUACUCGCUUAUGCUAUUUUACCUACGCUUAGGAUGUUGAGUCGUAGAGCACGCAG